RNAcentral lists this ribosomal RNA (135 nucleotides) under Salmonella enterica subsp. enterica serovar Montevideo str. 531954. RNAcentral describes it as "partial 16S ribosomal RNA". It matches the Rfam family "Bacterial small subunit ribosomal RNA", at positions 1 to 130 of the family's 1533-position model. Lineage: Bacteria; Pseudomonadati; Pseudomonadota; Gammaproteobacteria; Enterobacterales; Enterobacteriaceae. The record is from RNAcentral.
AAAUUGAAGAGUUUGAUCAUGGCUCAGAUUGAACGCUGGCGGCAGGCCUAACACAUGCAAGUCGAACGGUAACAGGAAGCAGCUUGCUGCUUUGCUGACGAGUGGCGGACGGGUGAGUAAUGUCUGGGAACUGCC